AUGCCUAAGAGAAAUGCUGAAGGGGAUGCUAAAACAAAUAAAGCCAAAAGGUGAAGGACAAACCAUAGAGAAGAUCCGCGAGGUUGUCUGCUAAACCUGCUCCUCCAAAGCCAGAGCCCAAGCCUGAAAAGGCCCCUGCAAAUAAGGGAGAGAAGGUACUCAAAGGGAAAAAGGGAAAAGCUGAUGCUGGCAAGGAGGGGAAUAAACUUGCAGAGAAUGGAGAUGCCAAAGAGAAUAGGCACAGAAAGCUGAAGGUGCUGCAGAUGCCAAGUGA
RNAcentral lists this long non-coding RNA (274 nucleotides) under Homo sapiens (human). RNAcentral's name for it is "non-protein coding lnc-RAP2B-2:1". The record is from RNAcentral. Lineage: Eukaryota; Metazoa; Chordata; Mammalia; Primates; Hominidae.